UGGGGAAUAUUGGGCAAUGGGCACAAGCCUGACCCAGCAACGCCGCGUGAGGGAAGAAGGCUUUCGGGUUGUAAACCUCUGUCCUUGGUGACGAAGAAAGUGACGGUAGCCAAGGAGGAAGCCCCGGCUAACUACGUGCCAGCAGCCGCGGUAAUACGUAGGGGGCGAGCGUUGUCCGGAAUUACUGGGCGUAACGGGUGCGUAGGUGGCCUGUUAAGUUGGAUGUGAAAUCCCCGGGCUUAACUUGGGGGGUGCAUCGAAUACGGGAUGGCUAGAGUGCAGGAGAGGGAAGCGGAAUUCCUAGUGUAGCGGUGAAAUGCGUAGAUAUUAGGAGGAACACCAGUGGCGAAGGCGGCUUUCUGGACUGUAACUGACACUGAGGCACGAAAGCGUGGGGAGCAAACA
Molecule: ribosomal RNA, 405 nt
Filed under: uncultured prokaryote
Description: bacterial SSU rRNA
Rfam family: Bacterial small subunit ribosomal RNA
Source: RNAcentral